RNAcentral lists this non-coding RNA (27 nucleotides) under Rattus norvegicus (Norway rat). The record is from RNAcentral. Lineage: Eukaryota; Metazoa; Chordata; Mammalia; Rodentia; Muridae.
UAGAGUGAAACAUGCACGGCAUGGACA